GUCCGGAGCCCACACCCUGGGCCUGGCCUCCAGGUGAGGCCAGGCAGCCUCGCCUGGCUCUGGAAGAGGAGGCUCCCGGGCGGCAGCCCCCCCGGGGGGGGGGGGUCAGGCCUGGGGGACGGGUGGGUCCACUAGCUGCAGCCUCCAGCAAAUGACAAAGCCACACCUCUCUUACCUGGAACAGGGGGGAGGCCAGCACUGUCCCACCGGCGACGGAGCAGAGGGGCCCGGGCAGGCCCCCGCCCCAGGGGCUGAUGGGGAGCCUGACAGUGCCUGUGAUGCUGCAAGGAUGUGCCAACAUGGACCAACUCCCUAAUCAUUAAAAAAAAAAAACAAAAAGCCACCGUCUCAAGAAGGAGUUUGAAGACGGGACUUCCCUGGUGGCCCAGUGGUUAAGAAUCUGCCUGCCCAUCAUCAGAAAAAUCUACAAACAACAAAUGCUGGAGAGGGUGUGGAGAAAAGGGAACCCUCUUGCACUGUUGGUGGGAAUGUAAAUUGAUACAGCCACUAUGGAGAACAAUAUGGAGGUUCCUUAAAAAACUAAAAAUAGAAUUACCAUAUGACCCAGCAAUCCCACUACUGGGCAUAUACCCAGAGAAAACCAUAAUUCAAAAAGACACAUGCACCCGAAUGUUCAUUGCAACACUAUUUACAAUAGCCAGGUCAUGGAAGCAACCUAAAUGCCCAUCAACAGACGAAUGGAUAAAGAAGUUGUGGUACAUAUAUACAAUGGAAUAUCACUCAGCCAUAAAAAGGAACGAAAUUGAGUCAUUUGUUGAGAUGUGGAUGGAUCUAGAGACUGUCAUACAGAGUGAAGUAAGUCAGAAGGAGAAAAACAAAUAUCGUAUAUUAACGCAUGUAUGUGGAACCUAGAAAAAUGGUACAGAUGAACUGGUUUGCAGGGCAGAAGUUGAGACACAGAUGUAGAAAACAAACGUAUGGACAUCAAGGGGGGAAAACUGCGGUGGGGUGAGGAUGGUGGUGUGCUGAAUUGGGCGAUUGGGAUUGACAUGUGUAAAGUGAUGUGUAUAAAAUUGAUGACUGAUUAAAAAAAAAAAAAGAAUCUGCCUGCCAGUGCAGGGCACAUGGGUUUGAACCCUGGUCCGGGAAGACCCCACAUGCAGCAGAGCAACUAAGCCCGUUUGCCACAACAACUGAGCCUGAGCUCUAGAGCCCGCGAGCCACAACUACUGAGCUCACGUGCUGCAACUACUGAAGCCUGUGUGCCUAGAGCCCGUGCUCCGCAGCAAGAGAAGCCACCGCAAUGAGAAGCCCGCACACCGCAACGAAGAGUAGCCCCUGCUCGCCGCAACUAGAGAAAGCCCACGUGCAGCAACAAAGACCCAAUGCAGCUAAAAUUAAUAAAUAAAAAAUAAAAUAAAUUUAUUAAAAAAAAAGCCUAUGGUUAAAAAAAAUUUUUUUCUUUCAAUAAGGUUUUAUAAUUUCUCUAUUAUACAUCUUUUAUUAGCUCUAUUCCUAGGUAUUUUACUUGUUGCUAUUCUAAAUGAUAUCUUUUUAAAGUUACAUUUUCUAAUUGAGUGGAGCUGUUUACGGAAAUACAAAUGUAUUUGGUUAUUUUAUCCAGAACGCUUGUUGAAUUCUUUUAUUAAUUUGUAUAUUUUGUAGAUUAUUCUGCAUUUUGUAUAUAGACAAUCAUAUCAUCUGCAAGUAAUGCUAGCUUUGUUUCUUUCUUUCCAAUUCCUACAUAUUUACUUGUUUUUCUUGCACUGGCGAGGAGCCCCAGUACACUGUUAGCUAUAAAUGAUGACUGUAGGCAUUUGUCUUGCUUCUGAUUUUAAAGAGAAUGAUUUCCACAUUUCAACAUCAAUUACGAUGUUUGCUGCAGGUCUUUGUAAAUGGCCUUUAUGGAUGCUAUGGUUAUGGAUGUUUACUUCUUUUCCUAGUUUGUAAGAGUUUUGUUUGUUUUUUUUUAAAUCACUAAUGUAAUAACAAAUGUAUUAACACGUGCAAGGAUUGUUCUAAAUGCUUUACAUACAUAAAUUAUUUUAAUCCUCACAACACACCUAUGAGGAAAGUACUAUUAUUAUUAUUAUCUUCAUCUCUAUAAAUAAGGAAACUGAAACCCAGCGAGAUUAAAGAAGCUCCUGAAGGUUCGAGCUCCGUAAGCAUUCAAGACCAGGCAGUCUGGCUCCAGAGUCCGUUUGUAACACUCUCAAACUUCUCAUCGGAUGUCGAAUUUUAUUAAAUCCUUCAUGUACAUCUAUUGAAA
Molecule: long non-coding RNA, 2230 nt
Organism: Balaenoptera ricei (Rice's whale)
Lineage: Eukaryota; Metazoa; Chordata; Mammalia; Artiodactyla; Balaenopteridae
Exons: 3
Source: RefSeq, a predicted model, not a curated record